This 1213-nucleotide long non-coding RNA is filed under the name Triticum aestivum (bread wheat). Its description in RNAcentral is "long non-coding RNA (TAES_LNC022544)". Lineage: Eukaryota; Viridiplantae; Streptophyta; Magnoliopsida; Poales; Poaceae. The record is from RNAcentral.
UCAUUUAUAAACCAAGCAAGAUUAUCAAACAAACAAUAUCACAUACAACCAUCAUCUCUUCAUCAUCUCUCUUGAUAAUAUCCCAUGGGACAACAUAUGCAAAUAUUAAUCAUCUAUAACCAAACCAAGAUCUCAAACAAACCAUACCAUAUACAACCAUCAAGUGUUCACCAUAUCUCUUCAUGUGGGUUCCUAUGACAACGUAUGGAUAGCCUACGUAGGCACCAAUCCGAAUUAGUAUGGCCUACAAAUUUAACAAUGCACCAUCUAGUACCUAUCAAUCAUCUAAAAUAAUCUACCAACUACAAUUUUUUCCCUAAAAUGAAUAAACCAUCUAACCAUCUAACACCACCAUAAAAAAAGAAGAGGAUUCAAUCAAAAUAAAUUAGAGGGAAGGGGCAAGAGUACCUUGAGGAUGCUUAGGGGCCUAAGAUCCACGAAUUUGAGGGGUGGAAUGAGUAUAUCUUGAGGAUUUGGUGAGGGGAGAGGGAAAGGGCGAGAGAGAACCUCUCUGUUCGUGCGCUAGCUCGGUCCCCGCCAGAGGAUAGGGAAGAGGGAGUGGGUUGGGCCCGCGCGGCUGGAUGACUUAUCAGGAGAAAACACCACGGUCCGUGGCGUUUUGUGUUGAGGGCAAAAGCCGAGGUCUAUGAUGUGUGGACCAGGGGGAAACACCAGGGACCAUGAUGUCUCCCAUGCAAACGGGACGCAGGGAUCUUGGCAUGACCAAAAAAGGUCAGAUACAUCUUUUUUCAAACGGGGAUGAAUUCGUGCUUAACUUAGCCAAAAAGUUAGAACAGUAAUUUUGCCGAAAAACCCUCUUCAACGAAGCACGACACGUGACGGCACUAGGACGCAACAUGUGCAAUGCUCCCAUAAAUGACCUCUGAAGAGUUCAUCAUCUCUCUUCAUACAGGUUCCUAUGACAACAUACGAAUAGCCUGUACAGGCACCAAUCCGAAAUAAUAUGGCCUACAUAUUCAAGAACACAUCAUCUAGUGCCUACCGAUCUUCUAAAAUUGUCUACCAAUGACAAAAGAAUUCUAAAAAUGAAGAAAUCAUCUACUCAUCUAACACCACCCAACAUUGAAUAUCAAUGCAUAAUAAGAAGAGGAUUCAAUCGAAAAAAUGAAGAGAAGGGGGGAUAAAAUACCUCAAGGACGCCCAGGGCCCUCAGAUCCAUGAAUUUGAGUGGUGGAAUGAGUAGGUCUUGAAU